This 421-nucleotide ribosomal RNA is filed under the name uncultured archaeon. RNAcentral's name for it is "bacterial SSU rRNA". It matches the Rfam family "Archaeal small subunit ribosomal RNA", at positions 576 to 997 of the family's 1478-position model. The record is from RNAcentral.
UGGAGAUACUAUUAGACUUGAGACCGGGAGAGGUUAGAGGUACUCCCAGGGUAGAGGUGAAAUUCUGUAAUCCUGGGAGGACCGCCUGUUGCGAAGGCGUCUAACUGGAACGGUUCUGACGGUGAGGGACGAAAGUUAGGGGCGCGAACCGGAUUAGAUACCCGGGUAGUCCUAACUGUAAACGAUGCGGACUUGGUGUUGGGGUGGCUUUGAGCUGCUCCAGUGCCGAAGGGAAGCUGUUAAGUCCGCCGCCUGGGAAGUACGGUCGCAAGACUGAAACUUAAGGAAUUGGCGGGGGAGCACCACAACGCGUGGAGCCUGCGGUUUAAUUGGAUUCAACGCCGGACAUCUCACCAGAGGCGACAGCUGUAUGAUAGCCAGGUUGAUGACUUUGCUUGACUAGCUGAGGAGAGGUGCAUGG